CGGACGGGUGAGUAACGCGUGAGUAACCUGCCUUUCAGAGGGGGAUAACGUUCUGAAAAGAACGCUAAUACCGCAUAACAUCAAUUUAUCGCAUGAUAGGUUGAUCAAAGGAGCAAUCCGCUGGAAGAUGGACUCGCGUCCGAUUAGCCAGUUGGCGGGGUAACGGCCCACCAAAGCGACGAUCGGUAGCCGGACUGAGAGGUUGAACGGCCACAUUGGGACUGAGACACGGCCCAGACUCCUACGGGAGGCAGCAUG
RNAcentral lists this ribosomal RNA (258 nucleotides) under uncultured bacterium. RNAcentral's name for it is "partial 16S ribosomal RNA". It matches the Rfam family "Bacterial small subunit ribosomal RNA", at positions 99 to 353 of the family's 1533-position model. The record is from RNAcentral.